UAAGGGAUAUUGGUCAAUGGAGGCAACUCUGAACCAGCCAUGCCGCGUGCAGGAAGACAGCCCUAUGGGUCGUAAACUGCUUUUAUACCGGAAUAAACCUCUUUACGUGUAAAGAGUUGAAUGUACGGUAGGAAUAAGGAUCGGCUAACUCCGUGCCAGCAGCCGCGGUAAUACGGAGGAUCCAAGCGUUAUCCNGAUUUAUUGGGUUUAAAGGGUGCGUAGGCGGCCUGGUAAGUCAGGGGUGAAAGACGGUGGCUCAACCAUCGCAGUGCCUUUGAUACUGACGGGCUUGAAUGCAGCUGAGGUAGGCGGAAUGUGACAAGUAGCGGUGAAAUGCAUAGAUAUGUCACAGAACACCAAUUGCGAAGGCAGCUUACUAAAGUGUGAUUGACGCUGAGGCACGAAAGCGUGGGGAUCAAACAGGAUUAGAUACCCUGGUAGUCCACGCCCUAAACGAUGAAUACUCGAUGUUAGCGAUAUACUGUUAGCGUCCAAGCGAAAGCGUUAAGUAUUCCACCUAGGGAGCACGCCCGCAAGGGUG
This 541-nucleotide ribosomal RNA is filed under the name uncultured bacterium. Its description in RNAcentral is "bacterial SSU rRNA". It matches the Rfam family "Bacterial small subunit ribosomal RNA", at positions 355 to 896 of the family's 1533-position model. The record is from RNAcentral.